Molecule: ribosomal RNA, 450 nt
Filed under: uncultured bacterium
Lineage: Bacteria
Description: partial 16S ribosomal RNA
Rfam family: Bacterial small subunit ribosomal RNA
Source: RNAcentral
GUGGGGAAUCUUCCGCAAUGGACGAAAGUCUGACGGAGCAACGCCGCGUGAGUGAAGAAGGUUUUCGGAUCGUAAAGCUCUUUCGUUAGGGACGAACAUGCUCUUUGUGAAUAAUGAGGAGUAAUGACGGUACCUAAAUAAGAAGCCACGGCUAACUACGUGCCAGCAGCCGCGGUAAUACGUAGGUGGCAAGCGUUGUCCGGAAUUAUUGGGCGUAAAGCGCGCGCAGGCGGGAUAUCAAGUCUGUCUUAAAAGUGCGAGGCUCAACCUCGUGAGGGGACAGAAACUGGUAUUCUUGAGUGUCGGAGAGGAAAGUGGAAUUCCAAGUGUAGCGGUGAAAUGCGUAGAGAUUUGGAAGAACACCAGUGGCGAAGGCGACUUUCUGGACGAUGUCUGACGCUGAGGCGCGAAAGCUAGGGGAGCGAACGGGAUUAGAUACCCCUGUAGUCC